AGUGAACGCUGGCGGUAGGCCUAACACAUGCAAGUCGAACGGCAGCACAGUAAGAGCUUGCUCUUACGGGUGGCGAGUGGCGGACGGGUGAGGAAUACAUCGGAAUCUACUUUUUCGUGGGGGAUAACGUAGGGAAACUUACGCUAAUACCGCAUACGACCUACGGGUGAAAGCAGGGGAUCUUCGCACCUUGCGCGAUUGAAUGCGCCGAUGUCGGAUUAGCUAGUUGGCGGGGUAAAGGCCCACCAAGGCGACGAUCCGUAGCUGGUCUGAGAGGAUGAUCAGCCACACUGGAACUGAGACACGGUCCAGACGCCUACGGGAGGCAGCAGUGGGGAAUAUUGGACAAUGGGCGCAAGCCUGAUCCAGCCAUACCGCGUGGGUGAAGAAGGCCUUCGGGUUGUAAAGCCCUUUUGUUGGGAAAGAAAAGCAGCAGGUUAAUACCCCGCUGUUCUGACGGUACCCAAAGAAUAAGCACCGGCUAACUUCGUG
Molecule: ribosomal RNA, 492 nt
Filed under: uncultured bacterium
Lineage: Bacteria
Description: partial 16S ribosomal RNA
Rfam family: Bacterial small subunit ribosomal RNA
Source: RNAcentral